This 468-nucleotide ribosomal RNA is filed under the name uncultured bacterium. RNAcentral describes it as "partial 16S ribosomal RNA". It matches the Rfam family "Bacterial small subunit ribosomal RNA", at positions 28 to 507 of the family's 1533-position model. The record is from RNAcentral.
GACGAACGCUGGCGGCGUGCUUAACACAUGCAAGUCGAACGGAAAGGCCCUGCUUUUGUGGGGUGCUCGAGUGGCGAACGGGUGAGUAACACGUGAGUAACCUGCCCUUGACUUUGGGAUAACUUCAGGAAACUGGGGCUAAUACCGGAUAGGAGCUCCUGCUGCAUGGUGGGGGUUGGAAAGUUUCGGCGGUUGGGGAUGGACUCGCGGCUUAUCAGCUUGUUGGUGGGGUAGUGGCUUACCAAGGCUUUGACGGGUAGCCGGCCUGAGAGGGUGACCGGACCAAUUGGGACUGAGAUACGGCCCAGACUCCUACGGGAGGCAGCAGUGGGGAAUAUUGCACAAUGGGCGGAAGCCUGAUGCAGCAACGCCGCGUGCGGGAUGACGGCCUUCGGGUUGUAAACCGCUUUCGCCUGUGACGAAGCGUGAGUGACGGUAAUGGGUAAAGAAGCACCGGCUAACUACGUG